AGGCUCCAAAAAGGUAUGUGAGGUGCUUUUGGAAAGCCCCGGGGCACCGUGGCUGGGGUUCACAUUGGCCAAUUAUCAUGUCCAUCCGCCUUGAACCCAGAGAACAAGGAGCAUGUGAUUAAGGCCCUGCUCAGGGCCAAGUUCAAGUUUCCUGGCUGCCAGAAGAUCCACAUCUCACAGAAGUGGGUCUUCACCAAGUUCAGUGAAGAUGAAUUUGAAGACACGGUGGCUGAGAAGUGGCUCAUCUGAGAUGGGUGUGGGGUCAAGUACA
RNAcentral lists this long non-coding RNA (271 nucleotides) under Homo sapiens (human). RNAcentral's name for it is "non-protein coding lnc-P2RX7-4:1". The record is from RNAcentral. Lineage: Eukaryota; Metazoa; Chordata; Mammalia; Primates; Hominidae.